CCUACGGGAGGCAGCAGUGGGGAAUAUUGCACAAUGGGGGAAACCCUGAUGCAGCAACGCCGCGUGAGUGAAGAAGUAUUUCGGUAUGUAAAGCUCUAUCAGCAGGGAAGAAGAUGACGGUACCUGACUACGAAGCCCCGGCUAACUACGUGCCAGCCGCCGCUGUAAUACGUAGGGUGCACGCGUUAUCCGGAUAUACUGGGUGUAAAGGGAGCGGAGGCGGCAGUGCAAGUCUGGAGUGAAAGCCCGGUGCCCAACCCCGGAACGGCUCGGGAAACUGUGCGGCUAGAGUACUGGAGGGGAAGGCGGAAUUCCUGGUGUAGCGGUGAAAUGCGUAGAUAUUAGGAGGAACACCAGUGGCGAAGGCGGCCUGCUGGACAGUAACUGACGUUGAGGCUCGAAAGCGUGGGGAGCAAACAGGAUUAGAUACCCUGGUAGUC
RNAcentral lists this ribosomal RNA (440 nucleotides) under uncultured bacterium. RNAcentral describes it as "partial 16S ribosomal RNA". It matches the Rfam family "Bacterial small subunit ribosomal RNA", at positions 338 to 795 of the family's 1533-position model. The record is from RNAcentral.